Molecule: long non-coding RNA, 3482 nt
Organism: Rhinopithecus bieti (black snub-nosed monkey)
Lineage: Eukaryota; Metazoa; Chordata; Mammalia; Primates; Cercopithecidae
Source: Ensembl
AUGAGGAUUUCGGAUAUCUUUAUAGGUGCAAGAAGCAGGCAAGGGAGCCUUGGAAUUAUUGACAAGAGCCUUUGUAAACACCUUCCAACCAGUUUUCUUCACAGUUACCACGAAAGGAACAGGCUUGUGAGAGGGCCACAAAGGAGCUUAGGUUUCCUGACAAACUCUGAAUGGCCUUCCCUGUAUUACCAACGGCUGACUUUGUUCCUGGUGGUGCCAACAGUGGGCAUGAAGCCAGCCCUUCUGUUUAUGAGCAGCUCAAGGUCAGGUGGGCUUGGACUACCUGACUUUUCAUUAGGUCUUCUCACCUGAAGGACGUUGGGAAGACUUUAAUUGGAAUCAGAAGAACUGGGAACAGCUGUUGGUGUUUGCAGCCACACAUGUUUGAGAUCAGUUAUCUUUUGACAUAAUGACCAAGCUUUUUUGUUAUGUCAGAUGAGAUAAAAGUAAGUAUUUGCUGCUACAGUUUCCCCUGAUAAGCAGUAUUCCACUUUUAUAUAAGAGGGCCAGAUGGUUGAAUUAAGGAUGAAAUAACACAUAUUGAAAUUUGCUUUUAAAUCCACCUCUGUACACAGAGGUUCUCUUAAGAGAGGUUUACCGUGAAUCUUUGGCUUUGUCCUCUCCUAAUAAUACAGGAACUAUAAAGAAAUUAUUUAGGCAGUUAGUGAGGGUAAGAGAGUCUUUGUCAAGGUUUCCUUUUAAGAAAAGCAGCCCCAAAUCAUUUCUUUUCUAACAAAGAGCAGCCUGAAAAAUCAAGCUGCUGACAUAGAAAAGCAAGAUAGAAGCUUGCAUGGGUGAAUACCGGUAGCCGUGCCAAUGGGAAAAGGCUACCUGGGGGCCAGGCAUGUUCAACAUGGAGGCUCUAUCUUCCCUUUUCUUUGUCAACCACAUGUACAGUAAAGAAGCAGGCAACAUGGUGCUGGCCAGGUAGAGAACCCAGCUGCAUAAUAGAAGAUUACGGUGGGCUGGCCAGGUUCUUGCACUAUGCAAAUGACACACCUGGUCUGACCAAUCUCUCGUACCCUAUGUAAAUCAGACACUGCCUCCUCAAGCUCCUGUAUAAAAUCCCAUGCAUUUCACCACGGAACCGGAAGACCUACUCGGGAGCUCCUCUGUCUCUACAACAGAGAGAGCUUUUCUCUUUCUUUCACCUGUUAAAUCUCUGCUCUUAACCUCACUCCUUGUGUGUCUGUGUCCUUGAUUUCCUUGGCAUGAGUCAACAAACCUCAGGUAUUAUCCCAGAUGAACGAUGCCACUUCACUAAGGAAGAUAAAGGAAACUAGAGACUAAGCUCAAUAUCACACUCCUCCCAUGUGUAUGCACACUUACAUAUACAUCUUUGUUUUAAUUUAAGAAGGAGAAAGAAGUUAGGAAAGUGUUUAGGUUCCUAAGCUGUUUUUCCAUAAUCUGAGCUUUGUCAGAAGUAUUAGAACAGAUCUGUGGCAAAACUCCAAAACCGUGGACCCUCAGUGCAGUUUCUCAAAUGUGCUCACAUGUGAACCUAGAUCCAUCUUACACCUUGCUAUUCCAGUUUAAUAGUAGGGUAUUGAAUCUGGCUUCCUGUGCUGCAGUGAUUUAGAAGGUGUGUGAAAUAUGGAAUUGUUUUGUUGGACUCUUCCUUAUUCCUUAUCUGUUUACCACCCACCAAUACAGCAACUACUAAAAAUAAGGCUAGAGCUCUGUGUUCUUCUAGUAGUGAGAUGAAUCAAUGUUGAUAACGUGCCCUCUCUUGAUUCCCAGGUGUAUAAACAAUGAAAUUUUUGAUGAGUUUUCUUGCCCAAGGGGUGAAAUCUCCAGCCAAUAAAGAGAGCAUCUAUCUGUGUGUGAGUGCACAUGAGUGCAUGCCUUGUGUGUCCGUGUGUGUGCAUUCGUGUGCUGUGUUUUGAAAGAAGCUAAUUAAACUGUAGACACUAAAGCUUUAGAUGUUACUGAAUCAACUCAAUCAACCAGUUCCGGCAAGUCCAAAUAUUUGCAGUGGCAGCAAAUACGAAUAAGCGAUCACAUAUAGAACACUUGCCAUGUGGACAAUCAGAUGGAUUCUGUCAUCUAAGAUUUAAAAAGCAAAAUAAAAAAAUACCACGGAAACCUUCAUGUUAUGGGAAAGUGACUGCAUAUUUGUAAAGAACACAGUCAAUACUAGGUGUGUGAGCUAUAAAUAAUGUAGUGAUUAUUAUUUUGGUCUGAAACAUUUUAUGUCCUUUAGUCAUUAAAAUUAGGAUCUAUGAGACUGGGGCAGCAUGGAGAAAUGACUAUUAUACCAUGCAGUGUCUUUUUUUAAAAAAGAAAAAAAUAAACUUAGGGCAUCUAUUUCCCACCAUUUUCUCAUUUAAUUACAAUUCCCUGAUACCUUUCUACUAGUCUCGUACUGUUUGGGGGCAAACUAGUAAGAGGCUGGGGGCAAAAGGCUCCUCUUCCAAUAAAUUCCUGUGGAAGUAGGAAGCUAUUAUCUGUUUCUUCCUUUUAUAAUGGAGCUCAAAUUCUUACCUGAAAUAGACCCCAGCCCUGGAGGUAAAGGGUGUGGAGGAGAGGAAGAAAUAGCAGUGCUUGUGAGUGCACAUGUGUAUGUGUGCAUGUAUGUGGCAGGUGUUUGCAAACACGUGGGAAGCACCUAUGCUUUCCUUGUUUCCAGUGGGAGAAGCUGCCUAAAGCAUGUCUCUUCCUGUUCAGCAAGACAUCUUGGUUCCCUGAAAAUUCGUCAGGGAUGGUGAAAUCUCCAUCAACGAACACAGAAAGAUCCACCAAAGAGACAGUUCAUGGUGAAUUCAGUUAUAGUGACAUUCUAGAAGUUGACACCGGUCAACCCUUUCUAUCCACCUCCACCCUGUCCCAGUGUCUUUCUUUUGCUGUUGCUUCUCAUCACCAACAAACUCAUGUCUGGUUUUUGGGAAACAUUAGUGUGUAAUGGCUUCUGUAAAGUAAGAGCUCUCCUUUCUAGAAAAAUUUAAUAGUCUUAGCAAUUAAGCCCAUGUUUUAUAGUAUUGUUUCAUUAGGAAUAAACACAUAUAUUGUAAUUAAAAACUUUUCUCAGCUUCUGAGUGGUCUUUCCAUUUUAUCAAAUAUUAAGAAGUGGGAGUAUGAAUGAAGGAAUUAAAGAAGAAACAGAAAAGAAGGAAAAAAAUUCACAAAAUGUAAUACACAAUCACACCAGGCAACUGUAGUCUCUUUCCUGGAUAAUUUUUGUUAAAGUUUAUCAGACUCAGAAGCUGAUAUGAUAAAUAGCCCAAUAUAGUUUCUCCUUGUUGUCUAAUAUCAUUGCAGGUCUAUCUGGCUCAUUUAUAAUGUAAUUUCUUUCUGUUUAAAGGCAAAAUACUUCAAGUAUUUGACAAGCUAAACAUUAGCCCUAAAAAUGUGUAUCAAUCUGCAUUUAUAUAUUUUCUGCAUAAAAAGUUCUCAAACUCAAAAUCAAAAUAUUUACAAAGGUAUCAUGUGCUUAUCGAUGUCACACAUUUUCUUUGCAAAGUGCAUAAUGAAAAUUUCAGAAG